This 797-nucleotide long non-coding RNA is filed under the name Pan troglodytes (chimpanzee). Its description in RNAcentral is "long non-coding RNA NONPTRT012773". The record is from RNAcentral. Lineage: Eukaryota; Metazoa; Chordata; Mammalia; Primates; Hominidae.
GCAUUCUGCAGAUGUGAUUAACAACCUUAAGAUGGAGAAGUUAUCCUGGGUUAUCCAAGCAGGCCCAAUGUAAUCACAAGGGUCCUGGUAGGAGGUCAGAAGAGCCAGUGAUGUGACAACAGACACAGGUCAGAGUUAUGUGGCCAUGAGCCAAGGAGUGUCGGCUGCCUCUAGAAGCUAGAAAAGGCAAGGAACAGACUGUCUCUUGAAGCUUCCAGAAGAAACUGGCUGUGCAAAUACUCCAUAGGACUCAUUUUGGCCUUCUUAUCUCCAGAGCUGUUCUUAUGGGAAAUUCUAUCCAGGUCAUCAUAACACAAUUGAAAACAACUGAUAAUGAAAAGAAUGCUAAUUGGUUUCCUCUCUCUCUUAUCACUGAUCCGUACACAGACCAAGGACAGAACCCAGAGGGCUAACAAAGAAGCACCAUGGAGUUGGUACACAGACCUCUGAGAGCGGAUCCUAAAUGGCUAUCGCUGCUACCUGGCAUCUCACCAGAGAACUGGUCCUGGAAGCUGUCAAGGAAGGUUGAAGCUUUUAACUGCUACUGACCAAUACAGGAAAAACAGAAAUGUAAAGAAGUCAGCUAUCAGACUCCGGAAACCCAAACAAUUUUCUGAUGAAGGAGAGGCGUGGUAUGACAAUUGGCCCUGAGCUCCGCACAAGCAAUCACCAAGAUUCACUGAUUCUGCAGCUGUAGAAUCAACUCCCAGACUAAGUUAUCUAAGAAUUAAACCUCAAAUCUUCCACACUAAAAUCACCUUUAAAAACAUAAGCUCUUUAAAAAAAAUAAUAUUAAG